RNAcentral lists this ribosomal RNA (443 nucleotides) under uncultured bacterium. Its description in RNAcentral is "partial 16S ribosomal RNA". It matches the Rfam family "Bacterial small subunit ribosomal RNA", at positions 338 to 795 of the family's 1533-position model. The record is from RNAcentral.
ACUACGGGGGGCAGCAGUGGGGAAUAUUGCACAAUGGGCGAAAGCCUGAUGCAGCAACGCCGCGUGAAGGAAGAAGGGUUUCGGCUCGUAAACUUCUAUCAACAGGGACGAAAGAAAUGACGGUACCUGAAUAAGAAGCCCCGGCUAACUACGUGCCAGCAGCCGCGGUAAUACUUAGGGGGCAAGCGUUAUCCGGAAUUACUGGGUGUAAAGGGUGAGUAGGCGGCAUGGUAAGCCAGAUGUGAAAGCCUUGUGCUUAAACCGAGGAUUGCAUUUGGAAAUAUCAAGCUAGAGUACAGGAGAGGAAAGCGGAAUUCCUAGUGUAGCGGUGAAAUGCGUAGAUAUUAGGAAGAACACCAGUGGCGAAGGCGGCUUUCUGGACUGAAACUGACGCUGAGGCACGAAAGCGUGGGGAGCGAACAGGAUUAGAUACCCCAGUAGUC